UACGUAGGCAGCAAGCGUUGUUCGGAAUUACUGGGCGUAAAGGGUGCGUAGGCGGUUGGGUGAGUUUGGUGUGAAAUCUCCCGGCUUAACUGGGAGGGUGCGCCGAAAACUGGCUGGCUAGAGUGUGGGAGAGGGAAGUGGAAUUCCUGGUGUAGCGGUGAAAUGCGUAGAUAUCAGGAGGAACACCUGAGGUGUAGACGGCUUCCUGGACCAUUACUGACGCUGAGGUGCGAAAGCGUGGGGAGCAAACAGG
This 253-nucleotide ribosomal RNA is filed under the name uncultured bacterium. Its description in RNAcentral is "partial 16S ribosomal RNA". It matches the Rfam family "Bacterial small subunit ribosomal RNA", at positions 524 to 776 of the family's 1533-position model. The record is from RNAcentral.